GACGAACGCUGGUGGCGUGCUUAACACAUGCAAGUCGAACGGGAUUUAGUAAACAGAAGCCUCGGUGGAAGAUUACUAAUGAGAGUGGCGAACGGGUGAGUAACGCGUGAGCAACCUGCCUAUGACAGUGGGAUAGCCUCGGGAAACCGGGAUUAAUACCGCAUAAAAUCGUAGAGACACAUGUUUUAACGGUCAAAGAUUUAUCGGUCAUAGAUGGGCUCGCGUCUGAUUAGCUAGUUGGUGAGAUAACAGCCCACCAAGGCGACGAUCAGUAGCCGGUCUGAGAGGAUGAACGGCCACAUUGGAACUGAGACACGGUCCAAACUCCUACGGGAGGCAGCAGUGGGGAAUAUUGCACAAUGGGGGAAACCCUGAUGCAGCGACGCCGCGUGAACGAAGAAGGUAUUCGUAUCGUAAAGUUCUGUCCUAUGGGAAGAUAAUGACAGUACCAUAGAAGAAAGCUCCGGCUAAAUACGUG
Molecule: ribosomal RNA, 478 nt
Filed under: uncultured bacterium
Lineage: Bacteria
Description: partial 16S ribosomal RNA
Rfam family: Bacterial small subunit ribosomal RNA
Source: RNAcentral